Molecule: long non-coding RNA, 2123 nt
Organism: Stegostoma tigrinum
Lineage: Eukaryota; Metazoa; Chordata; Chondrichthyes; Orectolobiformes; Stegostomatidae
Exons: 3
Source: RefSeq, a predicted model, not a curated record
UGUAUUUAUUUGCAGCAGUUUUGGAAACUUUUAGCAAAGUUAUGCAAUGGAAAUGUCAGUGAGUCAGUAACUGGCAGCUGAAGAGCACAGGAAGAAAACAACAAAAAGCACAAGCUGCAACAUGCGUGUCUCAGAGUGAUGUUCCUGAAAUGUUCGAUAUCAAUGGCACGAUGAAAGAGAAACCAUCAAGAAACAACAUGUUGAGCUUAUUAGUGACACACCCCCAAACCUGGAACACACAACACAACUUAAUCUAUACUGAUUCUGAGAGGCCGCCGCACUCUUGGAAGGUCAACGCUGAGGGAGCGCCACGAUGUCGCAGGGUCAGUGCUGAGGGAGUGCCGCGAUGUCGGAGGGUCAGUGCUGAGGGAGUGCCGCACUGUCGGAGGGUCAGUGCUGAGGGAGUGCCGCACUGUCGGAAGCUACCAUGAGUCCUAGUGAUUAGCCCUGACAUUCAAACGUGGAUCAUCUCAUCCUGAGCCAAAAUCCUGGGACUCCCUCCCCAGGGACUGCAGCUGUUCAAGAAGGCAGCUCAUCACCACCUUCUCAAGGGGCAACUAGAGGCAGGAUGGGGGUGUCACUGGCUGGGCCAGUAUUUAUUGCCUAUCGCUGAUUGUGCAGAGGGCAGUCGAGGGAGCCAUUGAUGAGGGUCUGGAGCCACAUGUAAACCAGUCUGGUGCUUCCUAAAGGACGUUAGAGGACCAGUCGGCACUUACCUCAAUGACGGAUUCAUGAUUUCUUUCGGAGUCCAGGUUCCACCAUCUGCCAUAGCAAGAUGCAAGCCUUCUUUCCCAGAACAUUAAAAGCCCGUCAAUAUUACCACUAGUCUAUCACCCCUCGUUGUGAGUGGUCUUUUCAAACUAAGGUCUGGGGCAUACACUUACAGAGCCCAUAUAAACAUCCAGAAGUCCCCGCUGACACUCUGACCAGGAACCUGAACAAUGGGUUACUGCAGCGAAAACAACGUUAUAGGAGCAGAGUUUGGCCAUUCAGCCCAUCAAGUCUGCUCCACAAUGUCAUUGACAAUCUGAGACAAACAAAGUCUUAUAAAGUUUAAGGGAACUAAGCAUUCCCUCGAUGACAGGAAUGCCUUCAGGCCAGAGUUGGCUAUUCCUUCGGAGGGCCUACAAUUGUUCAUACAAAGACAUUUGUUCACAAGUCUAGCUGUCACCAUUUCCUCUCAGGCCUCUCAGUCUUGCCUUGGCCUUGCUCCGGAUCCCUCGGCACCACUGUCAGUCUUCCCUCUUUCCUUAUCUGAGGAGACAGGGGGCAGGCCACCGUCUCCCCAUCUAAGGGGAGGUGAUGGCCUAGUGGUAUUAUCGCUGGACUGUUAAUCCAGAGACCCAGAUAAUAUUCUGGACCCAGGUUCGCAUCCUGCCAUGGCAGGUGGUAGAAUCUGAGAUCAGAUAAAAUAUCUGCAAUUAAGAGUCUAACGAUGACCAUGAAUCCAGCGUUGAUUGUCGGGAAAAACCCAUCUGGUUCACUAAUGCCCUUCAGGGAAGGAAACUGCCACGCUUACCUGGUCUGGCCUACAUGUGACUCCAGACCCACAGCAAUGUGGGUGACUCUCGGCUGCCCUCGGGGCAAUAAAUGCUGACCUGGCCAGUGAAUAAAGGAAGCCCUGACUCUGUCAGUGAGUGAGGGGCUGUGCAUGGUCCUGGAAGCAGUCACUAUCCUGGAGGUCCUGCCCGUGAGGACUGGAGUUCUCCUCCUGGGGAACAGAUGGUCAUCUUCGGGAGACAAAUUGUCUGAUCACUGAUAGAGCCAGCGGACGCUUGGGCAGGAUUUGCAAAUGACUUUAGCCUGGCAGGGUGUUCUUAUUGCCCAGGGUGGUGGUCUUGCCCCAGUGGCUUUUUACUUUAGCAGAGGCUUUCGGCCCAGCUUUCCAGUGGGGCCGUUUUGUCAUGGUGCUCUUCAUCUUUUGACCAGCCUCCCACGAAACCAGGAGCCAUUAAAUGGUCCAUGAUGAACUUUUGUCUUAAAUUUACUUUUUAUUGUUACUUAUGAGUUUUGUUUAUGACUUCUGUCAUUGAUAUGGGUGCCAUGGUAGGGCAGAUUACAUCACUUUUCAUUGUAUUUUCCUUGUAAAAUUACACAUAACAAUAAAGUCUAAUUUCUAAUUA